UUGGAGGGCAAGUCUGGUGCCAGCAGCUGCGGUAAUUCCAGCUCCAAUAGCGUAUAUUAAAGUUGUUGCAGUUAAAAAGCUCGUAGUUGAAUUUCGGGAUUCAUCCGUUGGUCGGGCUUCACGGUCCGUACUGGUGUGAUGGGUUCCUACCUUCUGAAUAACCGGCAUGCCAUUAAUUUGGUGCGCCGGGGAAGCAGAACUAUUACCUUGAAAAAAUUAGAGUGCUUAAAGCAGGCAAGUGCCUGAAUAGGUUAGCAUGGAAUAAUAAAAUAGGACGGCAUGGUUCUAUUUUGUUGGUUUCUAGGAUCACCGUAAUGAUUAAUAGGGAUAGUUGGGGGCAUUAGUAUUCAAUUGUCAGAGGUGAAAUUCUUGGAUUUAUUGAAGACUAACUUCUGCGAAAGCAUUUGCCAAGGAUGUUUUCAUUAAUCAAGAACGAAAGUUAGGGGAUCGAAGACGAUCAGAUACCGUCGUAGUCUUAACCAUAAACUAUGCCGACUAGGGAUCGGACGAUGUUAAUUUUUUAAUGACUCGUUCGGCACCUUACGGGAAACCAAAGUGUUUGGGUUC
This 567-nucleotide ribosomal RNA is filed under the name uncultured Glomeromycotina. Its description in RNAcentral is "SSU rRNA". It matches the Rfam family "Eukaryotic small subunit ribosomal RNA", at positions 548 to 1114 of the family's 1831-position model. Lineage: Eukaryota; Fungi; Glomeromycota. The record is from RNAcentral.